UAAUCUCACUACAACCGCUUUUUUGUGGUUGCAUGUGGACUUGGAUGUUGCCGUGUAACAAACGGCUCGUCUGAAAUGCCUGAGUGUACCCUGCUUCGCGGCGUAUUCGGUGUGAUAAAUCUUCACCGGAGUUGACCUUCAGGGUCGCGUCUGCUUGACAUGGCUCUAUGCUUCCAACCGUCCUGACAAGACAAUCUUUGACA
RNAcentral lists this unclassified non-coding RNA (203 nucleotides) under uncultured Sebacinales. RNAcentral's name for it is "sequence contains ITS2". The record is from RNAcentral. Lineage: Eukaryota; Fungi; Basidiomycota; Agaricomycetes; Sebacinales.